Aethina tumida (small hive beetle) is the source of this 305-nucleotide long non-coding RNA. RefSeq lists it as uncharacterized. NCBI's taxonomy places the organism in Eukaryota, Metazoa, Arthropoda, Insecta, Coleoptera, Nitidulidae. The record is from RefSeq and is a predicted model, not a curated record. The transcript is spliced from 2 exons.
CAUUUAUUGAAACAAAUAGUUCAUAAAAUAAAAUUCAAAAAUGAAAUUUCUCUUCGGUAUCCUCUUUGUAAUUUUUUUGGUAACUACAUUCGCCGAUGCUCAGUUUGGUAACGCCAGGUCUGCAGAUCAUAGUUUUAAUGGUGUUUAUAACGGUGCAAUGAAGAUCAGCAAUAUACAGAAUAAGGGCUCAAUUGGAUAAGUCUAUGAAAGACUUUAAGUAAAGUUUGAUUUAAUUAAUAAUAAAUAUUUUUAUUUUUCUUGUCCGUUAAUCAUUUAAAUACAAUAAAAUUAAAUAUAAAAUUGAA